This is a long non-coding RNA of Cornus florida, 360 nucleotides long. RefSeq lists it as uncharacterized. The transcript is spliced from 3 exons. The record is from RefSeq and is a predicted model, not a curated record. Lineage: Eukaryota; Viridiplantae; Streptophyta; Magnoliopsida; Cornales; Cornaceae.
UUGUUUUUCUCGGAAAGGCCAAAAGCAGUAAAGUCGCCAUUAAUACGUGCAUCUCUUUAUUCCACUUUUCUCUACAUGCAGUAAAGUUCUAUCUCUAUUUCUCUACAUUCUGUGAGAUGUUCUAAUAAUGGCUUGGAGUUCCUUGAGAACUCUCUUGCAAAGCCCUAAUAUCAAACUCUCUUGCAAACCCUAAUCUUCGCAGCCGCAUCUCUUCUCCCCUCGGAAUGAAACUAAAGGGCAAUUUUGGAGCAAAAGAAGGCUGAUAAGAAAAUGGGGUAGUUGGCAGAAGAUCAAAAGGAUGCUGUUGGAGCUUUGUAAAGCCUGAAGAAUGAAGAUGGAAUUGUAGAGAAGGAAGGAAAG